This 399-nucleotide ribosomal RNA is filed under the name uncultured bacterium. RNAcentral describes it as "bacterial SSU rRNA". It matches the Rfam family "Bacterial small subunit ribosomal RNA", at positions 958 to 1400 of the family's 1533-position model. The record is from RNAcentral.
AACGCGAAGAACCUUACCCAGGCUGGACCGGAGACAGGUGCUGCAUGGCUGUCGUCAGCUCGUGUCGUGAGAUGUUGGGUUAAGUCCCGCAACGAGCGCAACCCUCGCCCUUAGUUGCCAUCAUUCAGUUGGGCACUCUAAGGGGACUGCCGGUGAUAAGCCGCGAGGAAGGUGGGGAUGACGUCAAGUCCUCAUGGCCCUUACGGGGCUGGGGCUACACACGUGCUACAAUGGCGGUGACAGUGGGAUGCAAUGGGGCAACCCUGCGCAAAUCUCAAAAAGCCGUCUCAGUUCGGAUUGUGCUCUGCAACUCGAGCACAUGAAGUCGGAAUCGCUAGUAAUCGCAGAUCAGCACGCUGCGGUGAAUACGUUCCCGGGCCUUGUACACACCGGUAUCUC